UGGGGAAUCUUGCGCAAUGGGCGAAAGCCUGACGCAGCCAUGCCGCGUGAAUGAUGAAGGUCUUAGGAUUGUAAAAUUCUUUCACCGGGGACGAUAAUGACGGUACCCGGAGAAGAAGCCCCGGCUAACUUCGUGCCAGCAGCCGCGGUAAUACGAAGGGGGCUAGCGUUGCUCGGAUUUACUGGGCGUAAAGGGCGCGUAGGCGGCAAUUCAAGUCAUCUGUGAAAUCUCCGGGCUUAACUCGGAACGGUCAGAUGAUACUGCUUUGCUAGAGUGCAGAAGGGGCAAUCGGAAUUCUUGGUGUAGCGGUGAAAUGCGUAGAUAUCAAGAGGAACACCUGAGGUGAAGACGGGUUGCUGGGCUGACACUGACGCUGAGGCGCGAAAGCCAGGGGAGCAAACGGGAUUAGAUACCCUAGUAGUCCCUGAGCGGGCUGGCAAGGCGCAU
Molecule: ribosomal RNA, 447 nt
Filed under: uncultured bacterium
Lineage: Bacteria
Description: bacterial SSU rRNA
Rfam family: Bacterial small subunit ribosomal RNA
Source: RNAcentral